AGGGGCGUGGCGGAAUUGGCAUACGCGCCAGUCUUAGAAACUGGUAUUUGUGGGUUCGAGUCCCACCGCCCCUACCA
This 77-nucleotide transfer RNA is filed under the name bacterium. RNAcentral describes it as "tRNA-Leu". It matches the Rfam family "tRNA". Rfam says of the family: Transfer RNA (tRNA) molecules are approximately 80 nucleotides in length. Their secondary structure includes four short double-helical elements and three loops (D, anti-codon, and T loops). The record is from RNAcentral.